GACAACUUGAGCUGAAAGCGAAAAACUAUGCUGACCAGAUUAGCAGACUUGAAGAAAGAGAAGCAGAACUGAAGAAGGAAUAUAAUGCAUUACAUCAAAGACACACUGAGAUGAUCCAUAAUUAUAUGGAACAUUUAGAAAGAACAAAACUUCAUCAGCUCUCAGGGAGUGAUCAACUGGAAUCCACAGCUCAUAGUAGAAUUAGAAAAGAACGUCCUAUAUCAUUAGGAAUUUUCCCAUUACCUGCUGGAGAUGGAUUGCUUACACCUGAUGCUCAGAAAGGAGGAGAGACCCCUGGAUCUGAGCAAUGGAAAUUUCAGGAAUUAAGUCAACCACGUUCUCAUACCAGCCUGAAGGAUGAGCUUUCUGAUGUUAGCCAAGGCGGAUCUAAAGCUACCACUCCAGCAUCAACAGCUAAUUCAGAUGUGGCAACAAUUCCUACUGAUACUCCCUUAAAGGAAGAAAACGAAGGAUUUGUGAAGGUUACAGAUGCGCCAAAUAAGUCAGAGAUAAGCAAACACAUUGAAGUACAGGUAGCCCAGGAAACUAGAAAUGUAUCUACUGGCUCUGCUGAAAAUGAAGAAAAGUCAGAAGUUCAAGCAAUCAUCGAAUCUACUCCUGAGCUGGAUAUGGACAAAGAUCUCAGUGGAUAUAAAGGUUCAAGCACUCCCACCAAAGGCAUAGAGAACAAAGCUUUUGAUCGCAAUACAGAAUCUCUCUUUGAAGAACUGUCUUCUGCUGGCUCAGGCCUAAUAGGAGAUGUGGAUGAAGGAGCAGAUUUACUAGGAAUGGGUCGGGAAGUUGAGAAUCUUAUAUUAGAAAAUACACAACUGUUGGAAACCAAAAAUGCUUUGAACAUAGUGAAGAAUGAUUUGAUAGCAAAAGUGGAUGAACUGACCUGUGAGAAAGAUGUGCUGCAAGGGGAAUUGGAGGCUGUGAAGCAAGCCAAACUGAAACUAGAGGAAAAGAACAGAGAAUUGGAGGAAGAGCUUAGGAAAGCUCGGGCAGAAGCUGAAGAUGCAAGGCAAAAAGCAAAAGAUGACGAUGAUAGUGAUAUUCCCACAGCCCAGAGAAAACGGUUUACUAGAGUAGAAAUGGCCCGUGUUCUCAUGGAGCGAAACCAGUAUAAAGAGAGAUUGAUGGAGCUUCAAGAAGCUGUUCGAUGGACAGAGAUGAUUCGGGCAUCACGAGAAAAUCCAGCCAUGCAGGAAAAAAAAAGGUCAAGCAUUUGGCAGUUUUUCAGCCGACUUUUCAGCUCCUCGAGUAACACGACUAAGAAGCCUGAACCACCUGUUAAUCUGAAGUACAAUGCACCCACGUCUCAUGUUACUCCAUCCGUCAAGAAAAGAAGCAGCACCUUAUCUCAGCUCCCUGGGGAUAAGUCCAAAGCCUUUGAUUUCCUUAGUGAAGAAACUGAAGCUAGUUUAGCCUCACGCAGAGAGCAAAAGAGAGAGCAGUAUCGUCAGGUAAAAGCACAUGUUCAGAAGGAAGACGGUAGAGUGCAGGCUUUUGGCUGGAGUCUGCCUCAGAAGUACAAACAGGUAACCAAUGGUCAAGGUGAAAAUAAGAUGAAAAAUUUACCUGUGCCUGUCUAUCUCAGACCUCUAGAUGAAAAAGAUACAUCAAUGAAGCUGUGGUGUGCUGUUGGAGUCAAUUUAUCUGGUGGGAAGACCAGAGAUGGUGGUUCUGUUGUUGGAGCAAGUGUAUUUUACAAGGAUGUUGCUGGUUUGGAUACAGAAGGCAGUAAACAGCGAAGUGCCUCUCAGAGUAGUUUAGAUAAGUUAGAUCAGGAACUUAAGGAACAGCAGAAGGAGUUAAAAAAUCAAGAAGAAUUAUCCAGUCUAGUUUGGAUCUGUACCAGCACUCAUUCGGCUACAAAAGUUCUUAUUAUUGAUGCUGUUCAACCUGGCAACAUCCUAGACAGUUUCACUGUUUGCAACUCUCAUGUUCUGUGCAUUGCAAGUGUGCCAGGUGCACGAGAAACAGACUACCCUGCAGGAGAAGAUCUUUCAGAAUCUGGUCAGGUAGACAAAGCAUCUUUAUGUGGAAGCAUGACAAGCAACAGCUCAGCAGAGACAGACAGCCUGUUAGGAGGCAUCACAGUGGUUGGUUGUUCUGCAGAAGGUGUGACAGGAGCUGCCACUUCCCCUAGUACCAAUGGUGCUUCUCCAGUGAUGGAUAAACCACCAGAAGUGGAAGCAGAAAAUAGUGAGGUUGAUGAAAAUGUUCCAACAGCAGAAGAAGCAACUGAAGCUACAGAAGGGAAUGCGGGGUCAGCUGAAGACACAGUGGACAUCUCCCAAACUGGCGUCUACACAGAGCAUGUCUUUACAGAUCCUUUGGGAGUUCAGAUCCCAGAAGACCUCUCCCCAGUGUAUCAGUCGAGGUAUAAUAAUGGGUCAUCAACUUAGGAAACUGGGUGAAGUGCACAAAUAAAAGGAACCAAAAUAAUCUCAAACAGUCAAAAGAUUUCCACUAAUUAGUGUCACUGUGGUGGAUUAAAAGAUACCUAUUCUUGUGAUA
RNAcentral lists this small RNA (2523 nucleotides) under Pongo abelii (Sumatran orangutan). Its description in RNAcentral is "retained intron". The record is from RNAcentral. Lineage: Eukaryota; Metazoa; Chordata; Mammalia; Primates; Hominidae.